UUAAGUCCAGCAACGAGCGCAACCCUCGUCCUAUGUUGCCAGCGGGUAAUGCCGGGAACUCGUGGGAGACCGCCGGGGUAACUCGGAGGAAGGUGGGGAUGACGUCAAGUCAGCAUGGCGGUUACGCCUGGGGCUACACACAUGCUACAAUGGGCGAAACAAAGGGCAGCGAAGCCGCGAGGUCGAGCUAAUCCCAAAAAUACGCCCCCAGUUCAGAUUGCAGUCUGCAACUCGACUGCAUGAAGGCGGAAUCGCUAGUAAACGCAGGUCAGCUAUACUGCGUUGAAUACGUUCCCGGGGUUUGUACACACCGCCCGUCAAGUGAUCCGAAUCGUCUUCACCCGAAGUCCGUGGCCUAACCGUAAGGAAGGAGCGGCCGAAGGUGAGGGGGGUAAGGAGCACUAAGUCGUAACAAGGUACCCGUACCGGAAGGUGUGGGUGGAUCACCUCCUUA
This 454-nucleotide ribosomal RNA is filed under the name Armatimonadota bacterium. RNAcentral describes it as "bacterial SSU rRNA". It matches the Rfam family "Bacterial small subunit ribosomal RNA", at positions 1080 to 1533 of the family's 1533-position model. Lineage: Bacteria; Bacillati; Armatimonadota. The record is from RNAcentral.